Symphalangus syndactylus (siamang) is the source of this 990-nucleotide long non-coding RNA. RefSeq lists it as uncharacterized. The record is from RefSeq and is a predicted model, not a curated record. NCBI's taxonomy places the organism in Eukaryota, Metazoa, Chordata, Mammalia, Primates, Hylobatidae.
UGGUCUCAACCGGUUUAAACUGGACAGGAGUUGCUCCAGGUUACUGAAAAACAACUGAAGCGACCGUUACCAUGGUGCCUUAUAGACGUUAUCUACAAGGUCGCCGGUAAGGGUUAAGUUCUAAUGUUCAGCGGAGCGGCCCUCAGCUUCACAGGGGAAAAAAAAUCACAAAAAGACAGCGGCCAAAAGCAAGCAGGGCAGGGUCUCAGAGUAAGUUUGCUUCCUAGGUGUUCACUGAAGCCCUUCAGGCUGGGUUAAGAACAGAUCCCUGCAAGCUGACACUUUGACCAGUUGCAAAGGCGUAGGACCACGUGGCCUAAUGGAUAAGGCGUCUGACUUCGGAUCAGAAGAUUGAGGGUUCGAAUCCCUUCGUGGUUGAUUCUCCAUUUUUCACUCUCAAGCAACACUGCACAACCUCCCACACCACCAAAUUGUAGCAUCCAAUUAAUUUCGGAAAGUGAACGUGAAUUCUCUGCAGUCCUUUCCCGUGGAAAUGGGAAGUUGCAUCACACACCUCUUUGGAGUUGCGAGUGAUUCAGGUGGGGCCAGCACACCACCUUUCAGCUGUUUGUACUUUGGAGGAAGCGCUUGGCCAGGCUGGCACACAGCUGCCUGGAGUCCGGGGUGGGAUGGGGAAAGCGUGCGCCCUGGUCCAGGAGUAUCCUCUUCCCGCCUGUUGAAUGGGCUCAGUGAACUCAGUUGAGUGCAUCUUAAGGAGCUUUAUUCACCUGGUCCCGCAGGGGGCGACCAUCACGUUUCCUCUGGUCCUCAGUAGGCGCUCGGUUACAAGUUUGACUCGCAGACACACAGUUUAAAUAUCAGUUUAAACAUCAGUUUAAAUCAGUUAAAUAUCAGUUAAAUAUUUAAAUCAGUUAAAUAUCAGUUUAAAUAUCGCCCCCUUUCUAAAAUUUAGAGGAGCCGAAGAAACACACGUCUUAAAACCUGCUCAUGAUUCAAGUGGACGUGGUCGUUGAACGGAAGCGUUCUUUC